RNAcentral lists this long non-coding RNA (3718 nucleotides) under Canis lupus familiaris (dog). RNAcentral describes it as "lncRNA (ENSCAFG00040005239.1)". Lineage: Eukaryota; Metazoa; Chordata; Mammalia; Carnivora; Canidae. The record is from RNAcentral.
GAAUGGAUAAAGAAUAUGUAAUGUAUAUAGUAAAUACAUAUUACUAUAUAUUAUAUAAUUUAAUAGUAUAAUUAUUAUAAUUUAUAAUAAAUUAAGUUUAUUAUUAUAUUAUACAUAUGUAUAUACAAUGGAAUACUACUCAGCCAUAUAAAAAACAAAAUCUUAACCAUUUGCAAUGUGGAUGAAACUUGAGUGUAUUAUACUAAAUGAUACAGACAGAGAAAGACAAAUGCCAUAUGAUUUCACUUAGGUGUGCAAUCUAAAAAACAAAUGCACAAACAAAAGAAAACAAAGCAAACCUCAUAGAGACAGAGAACAGAAUGGUGAUUGUGAAGACUCAGUUUUGAAUCCUAAAAACAAUUAAGCAUCUGAGGAAAAAUCAUAAUGCUCUAUACAUAAGUAUAUAAGUAAAUAAGUCAUCAUUUAUAAGAUAUAAAAAUCCCUACAAAUUUAGAUGUGAGAUUGUGUUUAACUCCUCCCAAACAAGUUGGUGGAGCCCAACCUGCAAUUUUUACAAAAGAAACUAUUUUCUCCCUUAUUCUGUAUUUUCCAAAACAAAAAAAAAAAAAAAAAAAGAUUGGCUUCGUACAAAAUAAAUCCUUCUCUGCUUUCAGGAAACGUGCAUGGUCUACCCGCUUUAUCCAAGGCAAGAAUCCAGUUUGGAAUACAAAAAUGAGUCAAGCAUUGGUUUUUGUUACCAGCCACAAAGUAAACUUCAUUUUCAGGCAGUGUUUCUGGGGGAGGUUGCAGGAGGGGAGAAAAAGAAAAAUCGAUAGUGAGUGACUGAUUGCUUCAUUUUAUCAGGCGGGCCCAUUGUGAAAGAGCUCAGAGGAAAUGUGGAGGUUAAAUAUAUUUCCAGAGUUGUCCAACAGAAAGUGGCACUUUGAAGAGAACCAGGGAAAUAUAUAUCUUCAGAAGCCCCUGUAUAGUUCUCUGCCUUCAGUUUUAAUAACUUAAUUAGGAGGAAUUAUUUGUGCUGACAGCAGCAGUUAAACUUUGUUCCUCUAAUAGCUUUUUUUUUUUAACAUAAAGAAAAUAAUCUGGGAACUUAAUGGUGUAUGCAUAGACUGUGUCUUACCACACAAAUACCCACAUGCAUACAGAGGAUAUCUCCACUCUAGACUGGUUUUGUUUUCACUAGCUCAUUUGUUUAUCAAAUCAUAUUUAAGGUCCCACACCCUCUUCUCUUAUAAUUUAUUACAGAAAAUACCAGUUUGACCUGGACAGCUUUUUCUCCCUCUUUCACUAAGGAAGCCAAAUGAACUGGGGAAAAAAAAAAUUGCUAUUUUCUAUCCUUCCUUUUCUCCCUUUGUUAAUAGUUUUAAGUGCGUUUUUUACCUUAUCUUGAUGGAAAAUGGUUAACUCCCAUAACAAAAGACUCUACUGGGAAGUGUAGGUGAAAAAAAAACUUCUAACUGUAUUGAAAAUAAAUACCAUUAAACUGUGAUCAGUUAAAACAUUUAAAAAUAAUCAGCACAAAAGGGCGCUCAAAGGGAAAACACUUUUUAUUAAUCUUCAAAGUUUGGGGCUUUUUUCUGGUUAAAUAUUAGGCAAAUUUUUCUUUUAAGACAUUAAAUUCUCAAUACCAUAAAAUUAUGGUUCAGCAUCAGAUUAGCAUUGCACUCAGUAGUUAAGGUUUUAGGAAAUAUGCUUUAUAUUGUCUCUUCAAACACCUAUGAUUGUUUCAUUUUCAAUGUUUUUGCAAGAUAAAUGAUGACUUAUAAUGGGCAUAUUUAUUUGCCUGUAUUUCAUUUCCCCCAACGAAUGUCACAAGGAGAUGGGCACGGAGCUGCUGCUUCGGGGUGCAUCACGCUGCUUGUUCCUGAGGUGUGGGGACUGGCCUUUAGUGAAGCAAUCCAGAGCAGGGCAGAUAGCCAAUGGUAAAGGGAGGAAAUGAAUUUUCAGAUUCUUAUUACCAAGUGGGUAAGGUCAGAUGCUGGAGUUCAGGGGACGAGUCUAUAGCUCCUCUAACUCUCAUAGGUUUACUAAGAUGAAAGUUACCACUGAACCUUACCACGAUGUAUAUAUGUUUAAUAUCUGUCUUUUGAAAUGCAGAAAUAGUUUAAAUGUUUCUUUGUCUAUUUUUCUUUUUUUUUAAUGCUACCCAGGGAAAUAUUUUCAUAUCAUUUUUAAGUGGCCUGCCUCAAUGUAUAUUUAUUUCUUUUAAAGCAAAAAGGUUCUGGAAACUGUUUUUCUGUAGCUUUAAAUGAGUAGAUGAGCAAAAUCUAUAUGGGAUGUAAUUUUUUUUUUUGUUCAGUCUCUUUAAGAAUACUUUGUUUUGGUACAUUUGGUUGUGCUUGUGGGGAAAAUAAAAACGCAGAGAUCCUUAUAUAUUUAUGUUAAAGUAAUAUUUUAUUAUCUACAUAAAACAGAAAUGCACAAUACCUUCAUAGUUUGUUCUAAUUAUUGAAAUAUCUUUAUUUUAUUUUUAAAGAUAGUGCCAAGUUUUAAGGGGGGGGGAGAAAACCCUAGACCUUAUACUGACUGAGUUGAGUUGUGUGUAAAAUACUUCCCUUCCUUUAUACUUCAUAAAGUUUUGGAAUAAAUUUUAUGCGUAUACUGCCAGGUUUCAUGUUUAUAACUUUCAGAGCUUUUCUUUUCUUUUCUUUUCUUUUCUUUUUUUAAGAGACUACUGUUCUGAUUCUAAUUCACUUUUCUUUGCAAAAAACUAUCAGUUCCAGACCUUUCAGUCACUACACCUAUAGCAUUAAAUUGAAAUGGUCAUUGGGUUUGAGCCUCGAUUUGUUUGCCAUUUCAUGGUCCGACAAAGAGAUGUUUGUCCCCUUUAAAUAUAUGCAGAUAUCCCUACGUCUUCUUCUUUCCAGGUUACCUUUACCUUGACUGAUUGUGCUUUUUUUUUUUUUUUUUUUUUUUUUUGGAGAGCAUCAAUGGAACUAGGUGGACUUUAAUCUUUACCCACAUGUUCUCACAAAAUUUGGGAUCUUAAAAGCAAAGCUUAGUUAAAGGUAUUCUUUUUAAUCAUUAACAAAUACCUUUCAACAAAGAAUAACUCUGACAAUGUGCAAGAUGUGUGUUUACCAAGUGAUUAUUGGUGGGUCCCAUGUAUGAUGCCUGUUAGGUUUACAGAAAAAAAAAUGGAUUUUGCAAUGGUUUAUAUACUAGUGUCUUUUUCUCUUCGGGCAAGCAAAUAGGCUCCAAAGCAGGGCGAGAGAGAAAAAAAAAGAAAAAAAAAAAAACGAAAGAAAGAAUGUAUGGAAGACACUCAAGGCUGUGAUGCUAAUAGCAGAUUGUUUCAGAUAUUCUUAGAGGGAACAGUAUACUUACCAAAAUCAGCUUAAGGUUAGUGCCACAUCCAAGCAGUGUUGGGUUAGUUUACAAGUUUGCUGAUGUAUUUAAAGUCCUCCUUGGAACAUUGGUUUAAGUAUAAAUGUCCAUUUUGAAAGGCAGUUUCUGGGCUUAUUACAUCUGAUCAUCUUUUCUAACUCCUAGUCAAUAUUACACAGGUCCCAAACAGAUUCAGCCAAAUGAUCUUAUCAAUAGUCUGAACGAGAAGUGACAGAAAGAAGAAGUGUUUUGUGACCGCAGACAUGCUGAUGGGUAAAAUGUUUAAGCUGGGUAUAGAUUUGAGUUCUGGGUCAAUAUCCUCCUCCAUUGUAGGCAGAAAACAAGCAGCAUCUGCCCUCUGCAGGGCAUUUUAGUGGACCUUGAGAAGGCGGUUUUUGUUCUUAGCCACAGGGGCUACUGACUGGAAACCAUC